GACGAAGGUGGCGAGCGUUGUUCGGAAUCACUGGGCAUAAAGCGCACGUAGGCGGUGCCGUAAGUCGGAUGUGAAAUCCCUCGGCCUAACCGAGGAACUGCGUCCGAUACUGCGGUGCUUGAGGAUCAGAGGGGUGCAUGGAAUUUCCGGUGGAGCGGUGAAAUGCGUUGAUAUCGGAAGGAACUCCGGCGGCGAAAGCGGCUUCCUGGACCAGUACAGACGUUCAGGCACGAAAGCGUGGGGAGCAAACAGG
This 253-nucleotide ribosomal RNA is filed under the name uncultured bacterium. RNAcentral's name for it is "partial 16S ribosomal RNA". It matches the Rfam family "Bacterial small subunit ribosomal RNA", at positions 524 to 776 of the family's 1533-position model. The record is from RNAcentral.